GGCGAGGGGCCCCUGCAAUGGGGACCUGUGAACCUGGUCAGGUGCGAGAGCAAGCAGCCAUAAGCAGUCCGCCUCAUGUGCAGUGGGUCCCUCGCCGCG
RNAcentral lists this signal recognition particle RNA (99 nucleotides) under Planctomycetaceae bacterium. RNAcentral describes it as "signal recognition particle sRNA small type". It matches the Rfam family "Bacterial small signal recognition particle RNA". Rfam says of the family: The signal recognition particle (SRP) is a universally conserved ribonucleoprotein involved in the co-translational targeting of proteins to membranes. Archaeal SRP consists of a 7S RNA and homologues of the eukaryotic SRP19 and SRP54 proteins. Lineage: Bacteria; Pseudomonadati; Planctomycetota; Planctomycetia; Planctomycetales; Planctomycetaceae. The record is from RNAcentral.